GCUCUGGUAAAAUAUCUAAAAUUUAAUCAAUACUAAUACCUAACUAUGAUUGCGGGUUCGAUUCCCGCCCGGAGCG
Molecule: transfer RNA, 76 nt
Filed under: Diaphorina citri (Asian citrus psyllid)
Lineage: Eukaryota; Metazoa; Arthropoda; Insecta; Hemiptera; Psyllidae
Source: Rfam by way of RNAcentral